This 310-nucleotide long non-coding RNA is filed under the name Manihot esculenta (cassava). Its description in RNAcentral is "long non-coding RNA (MESC_LNC008762)". The record is from RNAcentral. Lineage: Eukaryota; Viridiplantae; Streptophyta; Magnoliopsida; Malpighiales; Euphorbiaceae.
UCUCAUUAGUUUUUGAGGACUCAGCUCGUGCUUUCCACUCUCCUGUAGUUAGUAGCACGUGUUCGUCUAUUCUGGAGUCGUAGCUCCGCAACCUCUCCUCGUGAGCUUUGAGAGAACCGGUUACUUCUUCAAUCGUCUUUACAGACAGAUUCCUGAAUUCUUCUAUGGUUGAGGCAAUCUGAAGAUACUUAGGGGACACUGAUCGCAACAUUUUCUUUACUACAUAAGUUUCAUUAACCACUUCUCCAAGUGCUCGGAGCUUGUUGACAACAGUUGAGAUUUUUCCUGUGAAAUCAUCGACAGACUCACC